RNAcentral lists this ribosomal RNA (407 nucleotides) under uncultured prokaryote. RNAcentral's name for it is "bacterial SSU rRNA". It matches the Rfam family "Bacterial small subunit ribosomal RNA", at positions 355 to 776 of the family's 1533-position model. RNAcentral also lists the same sequence under 1 other name. The record is from RNAcentral.
UGGGGAAUAUUGCACAAUGGGCGAAAGCCUGAUGCAGCAACGCCGCGUGAGGGAAGACGGUUUUCGGAUUGUAAACCUCUGUCCUUGGUGAAGAAAGAGAUGACGGUAGCCAAGGAGGAAGCCCCGGCUAACUACGUGCCAGCAGCCGCGGUAAUACGCAGGGGGCGAGCGUGGUCCGGAAUGACUGGGCGUAAAGGGCGCGUAGACGGCUUUUUAAGUCUGGAGUGAAAGUCCUGCUUUCAAGGUGGGAAUUGCUUUGGAGACUGGAAGGCUUGAGUGCGGAAGAGGUAAGUGGAAUUCCCAGUGUAGCGGUGAAAUGCGUAGAGAUUGGGAAGAACACCAGUGGCGAAGGCGACUUACUGGGCCGUAACUGACGUUGAUGCGCGAAAGCGUGGGGAGCGAACAGG